Molecule: small nuclear RNA, 141 nt
Filed under: Mustela putorius furo (domestic ferret)
Lineage: Eukaryota; Metazoa; Chordata; Mammalia; Carnivora; Mustelidae
Description: U2 spliceosomal RNA
Rfam family: U2 spliceosomal RNA
About the family: U2 is a small nuclear RNA (snRNA) component of the spliceosome (involved in pre-mRNA splicing). Complementary binding between U2 snRNA (in an area lying towards the 5' end but 3' to hairpin I) and the branchpoint sequence (BPS) of the intron results the bulging out of an unpaired adenosine, on the BPS, which initiates a nucleophilic attack at the intronic 5' splice site, thus starting the first of two transesterification reactions that mediate splicing.
Source: Rfam by way of RNAcentral
AUCGCUUCUUGGCCUUUUGGCUAAGAUCAAGUGAAGUACUUUGAUGUCGAUCACAGACUGAAGUGAUAUUUUUGAUAUAAUGGGUUAAAAAAUGUUAUAAAAAUUAAUCCCACCAUUCUUUUGCUAUUAGAAUGUGGCUAC